AAAAAAUUCUUACAGCUGUAUGGGAACAAAAUAAACAAUUUCUAUCUCUUCCAAUUUUUCAAGACAGUUUUUACAAAUCGAGUAAAAAAUUAUUGAAACCAAUAUAUUGGUUCCUGUCACGCAUCUGGGAACGUUGUAGCCAAUAAGAGCCAACGUCGAGUGAUGUUGGCAGCGUUGGUGUAGCGAUCGAGCUCAAUCCAGAGAAAAGACAAAGGUGCAUCAGUACUAUAAGAAUCGCUGGCGAUUACAACCCAAAGCUUUGCAAUAGUUUAGAUACAGAAAACGCUAAAAGGUUUGCAACGGUAAAUUAAAAAGGAAACCCAACCCUGACAAUGAUCAGUCUGUGGCCGACGACUGAAAUUUUGUUUGAUUUUUAAUACGUCUAUAUAUAAUUUUUUUUAUUAGACAGCAUUUUAAUAUAUAAUAUUAAGUUUAAAAGUUUAAACAUGGAUGAGCCUAGGACCAACUAAGUACGAUUUCGCAAACGUCGAUCAGGCCUUUUACAUCGCAUUUAAAAUAUUUGAAACAAAGACGAACUGAGAUUAAAGCUUAAUCGACGUUGGUGAAAUCGGUUAUAGUUUCAUUAUUAAAAAAACGCCUACUUUGAUUUUACAAACGUCUCCAUGGCUAUAUUUCUUUUUUCGCGUGAAUACAUUUUAAUAAUCAGAAGUUUAAACGUCGAUGAGUCUGUAGGCGACUAUUUUUAUUUGAAAUGAUUUUGAGAAACGUUUAUAUGCUUUUAUAUAUUUUUUCGCCUUAACAUAUUUUAAUAGCCGCAAGUCGAUCAACCUGUGACCGAUUACUUUUAUUUUUUGUGAUUUGUAAAAACGUUUAUGUCUACAUUUGUCUUGUAUGUUACAGCCUUUUAAUAAUUAUAACUUGAAACAUUUAUUACUAAUAAAAAUUUGUUAUUAUUAUUACUGUAUGUAUGUAUAUAUAUUUGAAUUCCAAGUUACUUAAUUUCUGCACAGCGCAAAGUUUUCUAUAAUGUCUCUAAUAACAUCAUAAACGAAAUAAAUAUGUAAUGAUUUUGUAAUCUACAAAAUUUUGUGUGAUUGGAAACAAUUUUGAGUCUUUGAAAAGACAUAAUGUGUACUAAACUCUGAAAUGAUUUUUCUUCUUAUAAGCUGUUGCCUGGAAUCUAUUUUUGAAAUUAUAAAACAAAAUAUUUUUCUUAUCACGGGACGGAUAUAAGAGAUUGGCGGCACAACUUUUCCUCGGACAUGGUUGCUAAUGUGAAAUAGCAAUCAGUUGUCAUAUCUGAUGAAUCGAAUCAGGAUUACGUCGUUUCGAAGACCCAAGAUUGUUUCCAAUCAUCUUGUACAUAUGUGGUAUCAACGUCUAAAAAAAAUUGAUUGAACGUUGAUUAAACGUCUAUAAAACGUUGAUUUCAAUAUCCAUAAGACGUUGAAAUGUAAAGGAAAAUUCAACAAUCGCGGACAUUUUUACAUUGUAUGAAGGUUUGUGCAAUGUUGAUUCUAUGUUUCUCAAUGUUGCUGCAAUAUUGACAUUGUUGCAAUUCAACAUUCAUUCUACAUUGAUUCAACAAUUCUGUGCUGUAUGGGUUAUUAGC
Molecule: long non-coding RNA, 1573 nt
Organism: Odontomachus brunneus
Lineage: Eukaryota; Metazoa; Arthropoda; Insecta; Hymenoptera; Formicidae
Exons: 3
Source: RefSeq, a predicted model, not a curated record